RNAcentral lists this ribosomal RNA (253 nucleotides) under uncultured bacterium. RNAcentral's name for it is "partial 16S ribosomal RNA". It matches the Rfam family "Bacterial small subunit ribosomal RNA", at positions 524 to 776 of the family's 1533-position model. The record is from RNAcentral.
UACGUAGGGUGCGAGCGUUAAUCGGAAUUACUGGGCGUAAAGCGUGCGCAGGCGGUUUUGUAAGCCAGAUGUGAAAUCCCCGGGCUUAACCUGGGAAUGGCAUUUGGGACUGCAAGGCUUGAGUGCGGCAGAGGAGACUGGAAUUCCUGGUGUAGCAGUGAAAUGCGUAGAUAUCGUCAGGAACGCCAAUGGUGAAGACAGGUGACUGGGCUAGUUCUGACACUGAGGCACGAAAGCGUGGGGAGCGAACGGG